Molecule: ribosomal RNA, 324 nt
Filed under: uncultured eukaryote
Lineage: Eukaryota
Description: partial 18S ribosomal RNA
Rfam family: Eukaryotic small subunit ribosomal RNA
Source: RNAcentral
CCCUUAGAUGUUCUGGGCUGCACGCGCGCUACACUGAAGCUAUCAACACGUUUUCCCUCCCUGAGAAGGGCGGGUAACCUUUUGAAUCAGCUUCGUGGUAGGGAUCGGGGCUGGCAAUUGUUCCCCGUGAACCAGGAAUUCCUAGUAGACGCGAGUCAUAAGCUCGCAUCGAUUAAGUCCCUGCCCUUUGUACACACCGCCCGUCGCUACUACCGAUUGAACGUUUUAGUGAGGCAUUUGGACCGACGCAUCUCAGUUUAACCGCUGGUUUGUGUUGGAAAGACUUCCAAACUUGAGCGUUUAGAGGAAGUAAAAGUCGUAACA